This 402-nucleotide ribosomal RNA is filed under the name uncultured bacterium. RNAcentral's name for it is "bacterial SSU rRNA". It matches the Rfam family "Bacterial small subunit ribosomal RNA", at positions 355 to 772 of the family's 1533-position model. The record is from RNAcentral.
UGGGGAAUCUUGGACAAUGGGGGCAACCCUGAUCCAGCCAUGCCGCGUGAGUGAUGAAGGCCUUAGGGUCGUAAAGCUCUUUCGCCUGUGAAGAUAAUGACGGUAGCAGGUAAAGAAACCCCGGCUAACUCCGUGCCAGCAGCCGCGGUAAUACGGAGGGGGUUAGCGUUGUUCGGAAUUACUGGGCGUAAAGCGCACGUAGGCGGACCAGAAAGUUGGGGGUGAAAUCCCGGGGGCUCAACCCCGGAACUGCCUCCAAAACUAUUGGUCUAGAGUUCGAGAGAGGUGAGUGGAAUUCCGAGUGUAGAGGUGAAAUUCGUAGAUAUUCGGAGGAACACCAGUGGCGAAGGCGGCUCACUGGCUCGAUACUGACGCUGAGGUGCGAAAGUGUGGGGAAGCAAA